Long non-coding RNA from Gasterosteus aculeatus aculeatus (three-spined stickleback), 1022 nucleotides. The record is from Ensembl. NCBI's taxonomy places the organism in Eukaryota, Metazoa, Chordata, Actinopteri, Perciformes, Gasterosteidae.
CGUGUCCCGGCGUUUUGCUCGUGUGUGAGUCCGCUGGUCCUGGUUGUUGUUUCAGAGUCGGCUGAAGACUGAUCGCUCACCUCCUGCACACCGUCCGCCUGCCUCCAUCUCCUCUGAAGUGUGAUGUGGUCUCAAACACAACUCAAACACAGUGUAGAUCUGCUGUGUCCCCCCUCUCCCCCCGUCUCGGAGUGACCCAUGUUUGCUCCGGUGGUGUCCUGGGUGAUAUUAAAGUUUCUGUCAGAGCACAAUGCAUCAAGGACGUGUAUUUGUUAAAUAAGAUCGGACGGGAAAAUUGAUUCUUUCCUGGCGUCGUGUGCCGAGAGACGCUGAACUAAAUGUCUCCAUCGGCCGAGUGUCAAAUGAGCUGCUUGUAAAACCAAGGCUCCAUUCUCACUAUCGGUCAUGUGACACGCAGAGGACGUGUGGUCACAUCACCUCGGCUCAAAAGCUCUCCAGACAGACGCAACGAUCGGGGUUUUAAAUGCGCUGCUUGUGACGUUCCGCUGCAGAGUCGAUCGUUGUGCCUGAAGUCGGGGAAGCUGAAGCUGGUCUCUGGAAACAGGCAGAAACGGCCCGCUGGGCUUCAUCCAGCCGUCACACAAUCAACCAGCGGCCCGUUUGAAGCUGAAUUCAUACGUCACACUCUCUCCUGGCGGGACGCCGUUGCCAGGCAACCUCAGUCUGACGGGUCUGACUCGUCCUGAAUUAUUAAGAACCUGCGAAUCCUCCUUUUUACAGCAGAAUCAGAUGUUUGAGAUGGAAGUUUUGACUUCGAUGGAUGUUUUGUCACCAGUGGAUUUUUAAAUCUGUCCCCAAUUGCGGUGGCAGCUUUAAAAAGUUUAAAAGAAGAAGCUGACAGCUGAAACCAAACCAAUCAAAAGUGAAUGUAAGAUAAGAUAAGAUGUUCCUUUAUUAGUCCCACAGUGGGGAAAUUCACUGGAUCGCAGCAGCCAAGUGGACAGUGCACCAGAUCCAUGGUAAAAACCAGCGCAGCAGCAUAAUGAUCAUGAUGCAAAUGA